This 447-nucleotide ribosomal RNA is filed under the name Prevotella nigrescens. Its description in RNAcentral is "bacterial SSU rRNA". It matches the Rfam family "Bacterial small subunit ribosomal RNA", at positions 28 to 462 of the family's 1533-position model. The record is from RNAcentral. Lineage: Bacteria; Pseudomonadati; Bacteroidota; Bacteroidia; Bacteroidales; Prevotellaceae.
GAUGAACGCUGGCUACAGGCUUAACACAUGCAAGUCGUGGGGAAACGGCAUUAUGUGCUUGCACAUUCUGGACGUCGACCGGCGCACGGGUGAGUAUCGCGUAUCCAACCUGCCCCUUACUUGGGGAUACCCCGUUGAAAGACGGCCUAAUACCCGAUGUGUUUCAUUGACGGCAUCCGAUAUGAAACAAAGGUUUUUCCGGUAAGGGAUGGGGAUGCGUCUGAUUAGCUUGUUGGCGGGGCAACGGCCCACCAAGGCGACGAUCAGUAGGGGUUCUGAGAGGAAGGUCCCCCACAUUGGAACUGAGACACGGUCCAAACUCCUACGGGAGGCAGCAGUGAGGAAUAUUGGUCAAUGGACGCAAGUCUGAACCAGCCAAGUAGCGUGCAGGAUGACGGCCCUAUGGGUUGUAAACUGCUUUUAUGUGGGAAUAAAGUGGCGCACGUG